GGACAGGUUGGUCACAUGUGGGACUGGGGCUCAUUCCCCCAGUUUGGUACAAGAAGACAUUCCUUGAGACCCAAGGAGGAUUAGCUGGAAGGGCCUGUUUCAUAUCAAUGUAAUGGUCCUGGACUGUCUUCUCUGAUGAUCCUGCGACUCAUGAGAGAGCAGCCAGGUGUGCUCAGGAUGCCUGCGAGGCAGGGGUGAAAUCCAGCAGGUUCUGACAGGUUCUGGAGAACCAGUAGUGGAAAUUUUGAGCAGUUCAGAGAACCGGUAGUGGAAAUUUUAAGUGGUUUGGAGAACAGGCAAAUACCAACUCUGGCUGGCCCCAGGAGCGGGUAGGGAAUGGAGAUUUUGCAAUAUCCUUCCCCCUGGAGUGGUAAUGGAGGUUUUGCAGUAUCCUUCCCCCAGGAGUGGAGAGGGAAUGGGGAUUUUGCAGUAUCCUUCCCCUGGAGUGGGGUGGGAAUGGAGAUUUUGCAGUAUCCUUCCCCUGGAGUGGGGAGGGAAUGGAGAUUUUGCAUUAUCCUUCCCCUGCUAUACCCACCAAGCCACAGAACUGGUAGUAAAAAAAAUUGGAUUUCACCACUGCUGCAAGGCACUUCUGCACCCCCAGGUGAGCAUUCCGGGCAUGCUCCAGAAUGCUCCCUUCCCUGAAAGGGAAACUGCUGGAGGGCCAGCAUGCGUCUCUUUCUAAGUAGAAGAUGAGCAAAGGCAAUGGAGGCAGAGCAUUUAAACAUCCCAGACAUACAUUCCUUGUUGAUCUCUUGUAUUUACCUUUCCCUUUGAGUGCUCCAGGUACCACACAUGUAACAUUUGGGAGCCAGUUUGGUCUAGUGGUUAAUACACCAGGCUAGAAAGCACCAGAAUGUGAGUUCAAGUCCUGCUUGAGCCGUGAAAGCCGGCUGGGUGACUGACUCAGCCUGACCCACCUCACAGGGUUGUGGUGGGGAAAAUAGGAAGAGGAAGGUGUGUUCCUUAGAACUUAGGGCUUCAGGCUGAGCUCUCCACAGGAGGGGGGGAAUCUGAAAGGGGGCUGAGCUCCGCAUUUGGGCACCGCCUGUUUUCUUGCCCCACAUCUUCGUUCCCACCACGAAGGAAGUGAAAGGUCGCCCUUCCUCCGCCAGGCUAGCAGCUGCGGGCACAUUGGCCUUUUACCCGGAGAGCCUUGGCGCCAGGUGGGUCUCCGGAGCGAGAGGGGCUCCAGGCCGGACGCCCCACCAGAACGGCCUCUCCGAGCGUUCCUCAUCCUCCCAUACACGGUUGCCCGCUUGCCAUGGAGACCGAGCUGGCCGCGCUUGCUCAACGGGGGCUUUCCACCCUCUAAAGGCGUCGGGGAAUUUCCCCAGCGCCGGCCUCGGAAGGGAGGAGCUUCUGCGCCUUGGCCGGCUCUAAGAGCGGACCGAGGAGCCUCCGGGGCUUACAGGGCAAGGCCAGCCGGACCGCCCCGGUUAGGAAGGCCGCGGCCGCAGCUGCCGGAGCAUGGCCACCGGAGCAGAGGCGGAGCCGGCCUUUCUACCGCUCCCUGGACGGGGCAGACGGCCGCUCUUCUCCCGCAGCCGAACGGCCGCCCAGGGGCCCAGCUGAACAGUCCGGGAGCGGCCGUGGGCAGCGACUGAGAAGCUCCGAAGCCGGCAGCAGGUUCUGCCCCGACGGCCUUUGCCCAACCUCGACCGCAAGGACGUCGUCGAGCCAGGCCACGAGCCGCCUCCGGGAAGCCGGUCACGAAGCUCUGCUCCGCUCCGCUCGACCGGCCCAGGAACCCGGGAGCCCGCCCGCUCAGAAAAGGCAGCCGUCGAAGCACUAACCAUGGCCGGCGCUGGGAAUUGGAGCGGACCAGCGGCGCCUCCACCCUAGCAGCGUCCUCUGGUCGCCCGGGGCGAGGGAAGGCGGGACCUGCUGCUCCCCUGUAGCACUCCACCCCCGCGCCCCCCUCCGGGGGCGGGACGCGGCGCUCGCCUCGGGGCAGGUCGCUUCCCCUAACUCAGGCGCCGUUCGGGAAAGGCAAUCCGGCGGCCGCCGCUUCCCCGCCCUUGUGACUUUUACCCACCGGGAGCAGCUCUUCUGCCUCUGGGGCCCCUGUGGCCGCAGGUCCCGCUUGGCUCCAAGGAGGCGGGGGGGGGGUGACCCGGCACCCCAUGUCGGCGCCCCGCCUGCCCUGAUCGGGCCCCCAGGCAAACUCAGUGGGCCCAGGGCCCCAAGGCAUUCCAAAGAAGGGGCAGGGGGAGGGGCCGCUGCGCACCUCUAAGUAGAAGAACCAAGGCACCAAAACUGCUGUUGGACGGAUUGAUGUGCAUCUUGCUUCUCAGCAAAGAUACGGAGCAUCUUUCUUUCAGGAUCGCCAAAUGGAAGCCAAAUGGGCAUUGCAACCUUCACUAGGGAACAACUCAGCCUGCAAGGAUGGCAUCUCAGUUCAAUCAGAAUAGAGCUGAAAGGGACCUUGGAGGUCUUCUAGUCUCAAGCAGGAGACCCUACAGCAUUUCAGACAACUGACUGUCCAGUCUUUUCUUAAAAACCCCCCAGGGAUGAAGGAGCCACAACCUCUGGAGGCAACUUCUGUUCCACUGGUUACUUGUCCUCACUGUCAGGAAAUUUCUCAUUAGUUUCAGGUUGCUUCUCUCCCUGAUUAGUUUCCUUCCUUUGUUUAUUGUCCUGCCCUCUGGUGGUUUGGAAAAUAAAUUUUUGAAGAUGGGAACCACAUCAGCUCCUUUUUGAAAUAUAUUGCACAACGGCUUUAAGAUAACAUCUGCCAGUGCCUUCAGAACUCUGGGAUGUAAUCCAUCAAGUCCCGGUGAUUUAUAUCCAAGAUCAGACAGGUGUUCUCUAAUCAUUUUCUUGCAUAUUUUAAUUUUUAUUUCUAGUCUGUCUUUUACAGUCAGGUUUUGGUAGGUUGGGCUACAGUUUCUUUUUGCAUGAAAAGACGGAUGCAAAGAAUGAAUUAAGCAGUUCUGUUUUCUCUCUGCUUCUUCCUUGCCAUCUUCUAUUAAGUGGACCUACUGGUUUUUUAAAACUUUUUUUCUUGUUCUUUAUAUUUUGAAACUUUUUUUAUUACCUUUGACAUUUGUUGCAAUUCUUUGUUUACGCUGAGCCUUUGCUUUCCUAUAUAUCUUUCAUAUCUUUGCAUAUUCUGGCUAUCUGCUGAUACUCUGCCUUAGCUAUGUGUUCCUCUUUCCAUUUUUUGUACUUAUCCUUUUUGACUUUCAGUUUAUUAGAGAGAUCUUUGUGCAACCAUGCUGGUUUUUUCCUUGGAUUACUUGUUUUUCUUUCCCAGUGGUGUUUUGUUGGGAUGAGAAGCAAAAUGUCUUCAAGGAAAAACCCAGAAAGUCCAGUUUCCUGUUGAAAAAGGACCUUUGGGACAACCGUGACCCGGAUGACUGAGAAUCUCCAUAGACAGGCAGCCACAGCCAACUCAGUGCGCUCUAUUAAUUGCCAUCACCACUACCACAUGAUUACCCAGCUAUGCCCACCCAGUCACAUGACCACCAAGCCAUGCCCAUCAAACAAGCCACGCCCAUAGAACUAGUAGUAAAAAAAUUCUGGAGCCCACCCCUGUUGUGCAUGUGUGUGUGGGUGAGAAACACUCACACACACACACACACACACACACACACACACACGUGCACAUGUUACCUCCACCCACCCCUGAUCAAACUGCCCGUAAUUUGGCUGUUGGGGAUUUAAGGAGGUAACUGGUUGGGGAGCUGCUCCUUGGCCUAGGCUACCCCCAGAAGGAAAGAUCUGGCCCAGAAAGUCCUUUGUUCUGGGGACACAACUGGGGCAGGGAGGGGUGCACCUGGGCACCACCCACUCCCUGUGGUCUCCCAGAUACCAAGAGCCGGGACACCCUCCCACAAGCCAGUAGCCAAAUACCUGACAUUCCUGGGAGCCCAGUCACACCUGAGGCAUGUGGGGAGGAAAGGACAGGAUUUCCCAGGUUUGCCUUUCUGCUUCCAGAGCCAGAGAGGAGCUGAAUGGAGAAGCACUGCCGUUCAUCUUGGAGGGGGGGAGGAGGACGGGAGGGAGCAGAUCCAAGGUGCAGCCCCAGGUCAUUCUGUUUCUCUGCUUAGGUAAGACAAGAUCUCUGAAACCAUCACCCUGCAAAGCUUGGGCUGCCUAGCAUACAUUGUGGUUAUGAUUCAGUGCCAUUUUCUGGCUUCGUUCGGUGACCAAGCUUGGCAUGGUGUCCUCACUCGACCCCUAAAGUGAGGUGAGGGCCAGGCAAUGUCAUUUAUACCUUUAUGCAUGUAAGGGUGGUCUAUACCAGGGGUCUCCAAGCUUUGCUGGCUGAGGAAUUCUGCGAGUUGAAGUCCACAAGUCUUAAAGUUGGCAAAGUUGGAGACCCCUAGUCUAGACUGAAUUGUCCAGCCUUAAGGAGACCCUGGUAUAGCAGGUGAUUUGGACCCUCUUGAAAUGCACGAAUGGACCAUCAGUGAGAAGACAUUGUCCCACUUGAUAGAAGACACAAAACAGUAACAAAUCUAACAGAAAGUAACGAGAUUUAGCACAGGGAUGGAGGGAAAUGUUUUUCUUCUUCUGGUGCUCAGCUGGGAAUUCAGAGACCAGUUGCUAGCCUCUCUACCAUUUUCUUGGCCAGACAAACAGCCAGAAACCCAGGGGUUGGAGUUCCCGUGGCAGUUUCUCAGUUUCCCGUGGCAGCCAACACAGGGAGGGGGCAAUUCUGAGAAUCGAAGUCACCCAUCUUAAAGUCACUGAAGUUGAGACGCACCACCUGCGUGACGUUUUCAGAAAUCCAAGUGCUUCCUCCAACUUGAAGAACUCCCAGGUUGCAUUCCCACAACAUUUACCAUAUUGCUGAUCCUCCUCAUUUCUGAAUCCAGAGCUCCAGCUUGGGGUGGGGGGAAGUGGGGAGUUGCGCACCUACAGAAUGGCAACUUUUGGGACCAAAAACAGCUCGUCUCUAAGAAGACAAAACUUCAUACUUUAGAACUGAAACAAUGACCCAGAGCAGAUGGCUCUUCACUCUUGGAAUGAUUAAUCUGAGUUUAAUUUGCUAAUUAAGCAAAGCCAUCGUUGAAAUGUCACAACUACAUCAAGCCAGGGAUGUAAUCCUAUUGUAACCUGUCUCAAAAUAAACAUUGGUUGAGGAAGCCUCUCGCCAAUCAGAAAGCAAGCAGA
Molecule: long non-coding RNA, 5124 nt
Organism: Ahaetulla prasina
Lineage: Eukaryota; Metazoa; Chordata; Lepidosauria; Squamata; Colubridae
Exons: 2
Source: RefSeq, a predicted model, not a curated record